UUUAUUGGAGAGUUUGAUCCUGGCUCAGGAUGAACGCUGGCGGCGUGCCUAAUACAUGCAAGUCGAGCGAAUGGAUUAAGAGCUUGCUCUUAUGAAGUUAGCGGCGGACGGGUGAGUAACACGUGGGUAACCUGCCCAUAAGACUGGGAUAACUCCGGGAAACCGGGGCUAAUACCGGAUAACAUUUUGAACCGCAUGGUUCGAAAUUGAAAGGCGGCUUCGGCUGUCACUUAUGGAUGGACCCGCGUCGCAUUAGCUAGUUGGUGAGGUAACGGCUCACCAAGGCAACGAUGCGUAGCCGACCUGAGAGGGUGAUCGGCC
Molecule: ribosomal RNA, 321 nt
Filed under: Bacillus cereus
Lineage: Bacteria; Bacillati; Bacillota; Bacilli; Caryophanales; Bacillaceae
Description: bacterial SSU rRNA
Rfam family: Bacterial small subunit ribosomal RNA
Source: RNAcentral